Molecule: ribosomal RNA, 308 nt
Filed under: Acinetobacter radioresistens
Lineage: Bacteria; Pseudomonadati; Pseudomonadota; Gammaproteobacteria; Moraxellales; Moraxellaceae
Description: bacterial SSU rRNA
Rfam family: Bacterial small subunit ribosomal RNA
Source: RNAcentral
GGGCACUUUAAGGAUACUGCCAGUGACAAACUGGAGGAAGGUGGGGAUGACGUCAAGUCAUCAUGGCCCUUACGACCAGGGCUACACACGUGCUACAAUGGUCGGUACAAAGGGUAGCUACACCGCGAGCUGAUGCUAAUCUCAAAAAGCCGAUCGUAGUCCGGAUCGCAGUCUGCAACUCGACUGCGUGAAGUCGGAAUCGCUAGUAAUCGUGGAUCAGAAUGCCACGGUGAAUACGUUCCCGGGCCUUGUACACACCGCCCGUCAACACCAUGGGAGUUUGUUGCACCAGAAGUAGGUAGUCUAAC